GCACAUUGUAAGAGCUGUAAAGAGAGAGGGAGUGGAGAGAGAACAGGCAGAACCUGAUAUGUAAAUGAGCAGAGCAAACGAAAGUAACUUUCGAAGACCGAAUGAUCAUUCCAGACUCUGUUUCUAUUGAGAGAGAGAUAAAAGGCUGGUUGAAUGAGUUGCCUAUGAAAGCUACUUCAUCUGCAAGAAAACAGGCAGCUGCACCAGUGACUGGGUCAGUGCUGUAAAAUGAAUCUCUCUGAGGAGAGAGAGGAGGGGGGCCCUGCCUCUAAAAAGCGUCUCUCUGGGGGACAUGACACCAAAGCUAAGAGGUAAGAUGACAAUUUUAUGAAGAAUUUAUUAUGUUUAUUUCAAAAUAAAUAGCUAUCUUAAGAUGAAUGCAGUUACUGUAAUUCUCUCUGGAUAAGAGCAUCUGCUAAAUCAGGGGUUCUCAAUCCGGGGUCUGUGGAGGUACUGCAGGGGUUCCACGGCACCCUGACUGUACUCGUUGCAAUGUAAGACAUUUGAUAGAAUUUCCACAUGAC
Molecule: non-coding RNA, 524 nt
Organism: Salmo salar (Atlantic salmon)
Lineage: Eukaryota; Metazoa; Chordata; Actinopteri; Salmoniformes; Salmonidae
Source: RefSeq, a predicted model, not a curated record